GUGUCCAUUCGGAGACAUCCGAUAAAAUUAAAAUGAUACAUAGAAGAUUAGCGUGAACUAUGCAUAAGGAUGACAUGCAUGAGAAAUAGUCCAAUUGUUU
Molecule: small nuclear RNA, 100 nt
Filed under: Brassica napus (rape)
Lineage: Eukaryota; Viridiplantae; Streptophyta; Magnoliopsida; Brassicales; Brassicaceae
Source: RNAcentral